Molecule: long non-coding RNA, 342 nt
Filed under: Gallus gallus (chicken)
Lineage: Eukaryota; Metazoa; Chordata; Aves; Galliformes; Phasianidae
Source: RNAcentral
CACGGCCGUAGCGUUCUUCCAGAAGAGCAGCUCCACGAAUGCCUUCUUGUUGGUGGCUGCCAGCGCAAAGAACUUACCCAGGAUAAACUUGGCCAAGGCCACCAGCUCCUGGUGGGCGCUGGGGUCGCUGAGGAGGCGGUGGAAGAGGGUGAAAAGGGAGAGCUGGAAGAGCAGAGCCUCCAUGCGCAGCUGCCGGGACAGGCGGUGCAGCAGCCGCGCGGCGCAGUGGUUGGUGCGGGCGCUGUUCUGUGCGUAGCCCCGCAGCAGCAGCACGCAGGCACGGACCACGGGCACGCAGGCAAACCGCUUCAGGUAGUCCAUGAAAUUGAACUCCUUCUCGGA